RNAcentral lists this small RNA (3417 nucleotides) under Pongo abelii (Sumatran orangutan). RNAcentral describes it as "retained intron". Lineage: Eukaryota; Metazoa; Chordata; Mammalia; Primates; Hominidae. The record is from RNAcentral.
GGGUUCUCCUACUCUUAGACCUGUCUCAAACACACAACUUCAGGGACAUCGGAUGGUCUUGCAGCCUGUUAGGAGUCCAAGUGGAAUGAAUCUAUUCAGGCACCCUAAUGGGCAGAUUGUCCAGCUUCUACCUUUGCAUCAGCUUCGAGGCUCUAAUACCCAGCCCAACUUACAGCCUGUCAUGUUUCGGAACCCAGGGUCUGUGAUGGGAAUCCGGUUACCUGCUCCUUCCAAACCCUCUGAGACUCCGCCAUCUUCCACUUCGUCCUCUGCUUUCUCUGUCAUGAAUCCUGUAAUUCAAGCUGUUGGGUCUUCUUCAGCAGUGAAUGUUAUCACUCAGGCACCAUCAUUGCUUUCCUCUGGAGCUAGUUUUGUGUCUCAGGCUGGUACAUUGACCCUGAGGAUUUCUCCUCCUGAACCACAAAGCUUUGCAAGUAAAACAGGCUCUGAAACCAAAAUAACCUAUAGCUCAGGAGGACAGCCUGUUGGUACAGCCAGUCUUAUUCCUCUCCAGUCUGGUAGUUUUGCCUUGUUACAGCUCCCAGGACAAAAGCCUGUUCCUAGCUCCAUUCUUCAACAUGUUGCUUCCCUUCAGAUGAAGAGAGAAUCUCAGAAUCCAGACCAGAAAGAUGAAACAAACUCAAUAAAAAGAGAGCAAGAAACGAAGAAGGUUCUACAGUCAGAAGGAGAGGCUGUAGACCCUGAGGCUAAUAUAAUAAAACAAAACUCAGGAGCUGCUACCUCAGAAGAAACUCUGAAUGAUUCCUUGGAAGAUAGGGGUGAUCAUUUGGAUGAAGAAUCCCUUCCAGAAGAAGGUUCUGCAACUGUCAAACCAUCUGAGCAUUCCUGUAUCACUGGGUCACAUACAGAUCAAGAUUAUAAAGAUGUUAAUGAAGAAUAUGGGGCUAGGAAUCGUAAGAGUUCCAAAGAAAAAGUGGCUGUUCUAGAAGUUAGGACCAUUUCUGAAAAAGCCAGUAAUAAGACAGUCCAAAAUUUAAGUAAAGUACAGCAUCAAAAACUUGGUGAUGUGAAGGUGGAACAGCAGAAAGGAUUCGACAAUCCAGAAGAAAACUCAAGUGAAUUUCCAGGCUCCUUUAAGGAAGAAAGUAAAUUUGAAUUGUCAGGAAGCAAAGUUAUGGAGCAGCAAUCUAAUCUACAGCCAGAGGCCAAAGAGAAGGAAUGUGGAUACUCUCUGGAGAAAGACAGUAUUAGGGAAAGAUGGAGAAAACAUCUGAAGGGCCCUUUAACCAGGAAAUGUGUCGGAGCUUCACAGGAAUGUAAGAAAGAGGCAGACGAGCAGUUAAUUAAAGAAACAAAGACAUGUCAGGAAAAUUCAGAUGUGUUUCAGCAAGAACAAGGCAUCUCUGACUUACUUGGAAAAAGUGGAAUUGCUGAAGAUGCCAGAGUUUUGAAAACUGAAUGUGAUUCUUGGAGUAGGAUUUCUAAUCCUUCAGCCUUCUCCAUUGUUCCUAGGAGAGCCGCAAAAAGCAGCAGAGGGAAUGGACAUUUUCAGGGUCACUUACUGCUACCUGGAGAACAGAUACAACCAAAGCAAGAGAAGAAGGGUGGGAGAAGCAGUACUGACUUCACUGUUUUGGAUUUGGAAGAAGAUGAUGAAGAUGAUAAUGAGAAAACCGAUGAUUCUAUUGAUGAAAUUGUGGAUGUUGUUUCUGACUACCAGAGUGAGGAGGUUGAUGAUGUAGAAAAGGUGGUGAGCCCAUUUUUGUUGUGACUGAAACCUAAAGGAUUUAAAUGAUUUAAUUAAAGACAGAAGCUUUUUCAGAAGAUCACUAAGGCAUAAUACAUUUAAUUGGAUGCCUAGGUUUAGAUUAUGACUUAAAUGGCUUAGUAGUUCUUUAGGCUGUGUCAAUCAAGCAUCAUUUAUUGAACUUUUAUUCUUUGAGACUUGUCUGGUUUUAUGGGAAGGCUGGCUUAAGCAUUUGGGGGAUAGGUGCUUGAGAGUCCCUACCGAGUUAGAUUUUUAAAAUCCCAAAACCACUACUCCCAUUUGAUCUCAGUCAAUUUCUAUGACGUUUUCUAUGUGAGGUGGUUGUAGCUUCUCUGGUAGAUGUUAAUCAGAAACUAGCAAUGGAUGACCUUAGAAUUGGAGGAGAACCUAUUCACUUGCAUAUAGAGAGAUGUUUUUGUUUUUGGAGAAAAACUGGAAAAUACCAUCAUAUUCUAAUACCAUUUUGCCUUGAGUUGCUUUUAUUUCCAAAAAUUAAAUAUUUAGUCCCUGGAAUUUAUAUUCUAGGCUUUGGUCAUCGUCCUUUGUAAUAUGACCUUUAUGGCCUAUUUUUAUUAUUUUCCUGAAGUUUUUUUAUAGGAUUCCUAUUUAGGGUUGUUGUAUUUACUGAAAUAAGUAACUGUCAGGUAUUGAUACAGUGCAGGAGUUGUACAAACGAUUUCUGUAAAAGGCCAGAUAGUAAAUAGUUGUAGACUUUGCAGAGAGCUAGACGGCUCUCUGUUGCAACUGAUUGACUGCUGUUGUAGUAUAAAAGCAGCUGUAUUCCAUUAAAACUUUAGUAAAAAAGUCCAGGUGCGGUGACUCACACCCAUAAUCCCAGCACUUUGGAAGGCCGAGGUGAGUGGAUCACCUGACGUCAGGAGUUUGAGACUAGUCUGGCCAACAUGACAAAACCCUGUCUCUACUAAAAAUACAAAAAAUUAGCCAGGUGUGGUGGUGGGUGCCUGUAAUCCCAGUACUCAGAAGGCUGAGGCAGGAGAAUCGCUUGAACCCGGGAGGCGGAGGUUGCAGUGAGCCUAGAUCGCGCCAUUGCACUCCAGUCUGGGCGACAAGAACAAAACUCCGUCUCGGGUUAAAAAAAAAAAAAAAAAAAAAGGUUGUUGGUGAGCUGUGGUUUGCUGACCCCUGACAUAAGGUCUGAUGUAAAACAUGGGGAGAUCAUAACUAGCUGCCCGUAGAGUGCCCUAAAAUCUAAACUGUGUCCUUCUCUUCAGGAGCAGAUGACAGCCAUCUGCACUGAUUGUCAUACAACUGCUUGUUUUACAAUCGCACUUCCUUGAGAUUCAUUCUGCCUUUGUGUUAUCUGGUCCUUUUCUGUUAAUGCUUAACUGCUUUAUGCACAUAAAAUAAAACAAAAAGAUUACUGUUUUAAAAAUCUAAAAUGUUGAAAUAUUUUAUUUUAGUGACGGAGUCUUACUCUGUCGCCCAGGCUGGAGUGCAGUGGCGCGAACUCGACUCACUGCAACCUCUACCUCCGGGGCUCAAGCAAUUCUCCUGCUUCAGCCUCCUGAGUAGCUGAGAUUGCAGGAGCCCGCCACUGCCCCAGAUAAUUUUUGUAUUUACAUAGAGAUGGGGUUUCACCAUCUUGGCCAGGCUGGUCUUAAUGUUCUUAUAUUGGUUAUUUCAGUACCUCCAUUGUCUCAUUUAUAAAGGAGGAUCUUGCUCUAAAA